GCCAUGAGAAGCUAACAAGCAUUGGUCUUGUAAACCAAAGACAAGAAAUUCAAUUUCUCCAUGGCA
RNAcentral lists this transfer RNA (66 nucleotides) under Cumberlandia monodonta. RNAcentral describes it as "tRNA-Thr". It matches the Rfam family "tRNA". Rfam says of the family: Transfer RNA (tRNA) molecules are approximately 80 nucleotides in length. The record is from RNAcentral. Lineage: Eukaryota; Metazoa; Mollusca; Bivalvia; Unionida; Margaritiferidae.